GAUCUAGCUUGCUAGAUGCUGACGAGUGGCGCACGGGUGCGUAACGCGUAUACAAUCUACCUUUAACUGAGGGAUAGCCCAGAGAAAUUUGGAUUAAUACCUCAUAGUAUUAUAAUUAGGCAUCUUUUUAUAAUUAAAACUUCGGUGGUUAAAGAUGAGUAUGCGUACUAUUAGCUAGUUGGUAAGGUAAAAGCUUACCAAGGCAACGAUAGUUAGGGGGCCUGAAAGGGUGAUCCCCCACACUGGUACUGAGACACGGACCAGACUCCUACGGGAGGCAGCAGUGAGGAAUAUUGCACAAUGGAGGAAACUCUGAUGCAGCCAUGCCGCGUGCAGGAAGAAUGCCCUAUGGGUUGUAAACUGCUUUUAUACAAGAAGGAACCUCGGUACGUGUACCGACUUGACGGUAUUGUAUGAAUAAGCACCGGCUAACUCCGUGCCAGCAGCCGCGGUAAUACGGAGGGUGCAAGCGUUAUCCGGAUUUAUUA
Molecule: ribosomal RNA, 488 nt
Filed under: uncultured Bacteroidota bacterium
Lineage: Bacteria; Pseudomonadati; Bacteroidota
Description: bacterial SSU rRNA
Rfam family: Bacterial small subunit ribosomal RNA
Source: RNAcentral